AACGAACGCUGGCGGCAGGCUUAACACAUGCAAGUCGAGCGCCCCGCAAGGGGAGCGGCAGACGGGUGGGUACCGCGUGGGAACGUACCCUUAUCUUCGGGAUAGCUCCUGGAAACUGGAAUUAAUACCGAAUGUGCCCUUUGGGGUAAAGAUUUAUCGGAUAAGGAUCGGCCCGCGUUGGAUUAGCUAGUUGGUGGGGUAAAGGCCUACCAAGGGGACGAUACAUAGCUGGUCUGAGAGGAUGGGCAGCCACAUUGGGACUGAGACACGGCCCAAACUCUUGCGGGAAGGAGGAGUGGGGAAUAUAGGAAAAUGGGGGGAAGGAAGAAGGAGCCAUGACGGGUGAGUGAUGAAGGCCGUAGGGAUGGAAAGCAAGUUAACAGGAGAAGAUAAUGACGGUACCAGGAGAAGAAGCACCGGCUAACUUCGUG
This 431-nucleotide ribosomal RNA is filed under the name uncultured bacterium. RNAcentral's name for it is "partial 16S ribosomal RNA". It matches the Rfam family "Bacterial small subunit ribosomal RNA", at positions 30 to 507 of the family's 1533-position model. The record is from RNAcentral.